AUUGAACGCUGGCGGCAUGCCUUACACAUGCAAGUCGAACGGCAGCACGGAGCUUGCUCUGGUGGCGAGUGGCGAACGGGUGAGUAAUAUAUCGGAACGUACCCUAGAGUGGGGGAUAACGUAGCGAAAGUUACGCUAAUACCGCAUACGAUCUAAGGAUGAAAGUGAGGGAUCGCAAGACCUCAUGCUCGUGGAGCGGCCGAUAUCUGAUUAGCUAGUUGGUAGGGUAAAAGCCUACCAAGGCAUCGAUCAGUAGCUGGCCUGAGAGGACGACAGCCACACUGGAACUGAGACACGGUCCAGACUCCUACGGGAGGCAGCAGUGGGGAAUUUUGGACAAUGGGCGAAAGCCUGAUCCAGCAAUGCCGCGUGAGUGAAGAAGGCCUUCGGGUUGUAAAGCUCUUUUGUCAGGGAAGAAACGGUGGGAGCCAAUAUCUCUUGCUAAUGACGGUACCUGAAGAAUAAGCACCGGCUAACUACGUGCCAGCAGCCGCGGUAAUACGUAGGGUGCAAGCGUUAAUCGGAAUUACUGGGCGUAAAGCGUGCGCAGGCGGUUUUGUAAGUCUGAUGUGAAAUCCCCGGGCUCAACCUGGGAAUUGCAUUGGAGACUGCAAGGCUAGAAUCUGGCAGAGGGGGGUAGAAUUCCACGUGUAGCAGUGAAAUGCGUAGAUAUGUGGAGGAACACCGAUGGCGAAGGCAGCCCCCUGGGUCAAGAUUGACGCUCAUGCACGAAAGCGUGGGGAGCAAACAGGAUUAGAUACCCUGGUAGUCCACGCCCUAAACGAUGUCUACUAGUUGUCGGGUCUUAAUUGACUUGGUAACGCAGCUAACGCGUGAAGUAGACCGCCUGGGGAGUACGGUCGCAAGAUUAAAACUCAAAGGAAUUGACGGGGACCCGCACAAGCGGUGGAUGAUGUGGAUUAAUUCGAUGCAACGCGAAAAACCUUACCUACCCUUGGCAUGGCUGGAAUCCUUGAGAGAUCAGGGAGUGCUCGAAAGAGAACCAGUACACAGGUGCUGCAUGGCUGUCGUCAGCUCGUGUCGUGAGAUGUUGGGUUAAGUCCCGCAACGAGCGCAACCCUUGUCAUUAGUUGCUACGAAAGGGCACUCUAAUGAGACUGCCGGUGACAAACCGGAGGAAGGUGGGGAUGACGUCAAGUCCUCAUGGCCCUUAUGGGUGGGGCUUCACACGUCAUACAAUGGUACAUACAGAGCGCCGCCAACCCGCGAGGGGGAGCUAAUCGCAGAAAGUGUAUCGUAGUCCGGAUUGUAGUCUGCAACUCGACUGCAUGAAGUUGGAAUCGCUAGUAAUCGCGGAUCAGCAUGUCGCGGUGAAUACGUUCCCGGGUCU
Molecule: ribosomal RNA, 1351 nt
Filed under: uncultured bacterium
Lineage: Bacteria
Description: bacterial SSU rRNA
Rfam family: Bacterial small subunit ribosomal RNA
Source: RNAcentral